GCCUGACUCGCUCUGUUGGUAGAGCAUAAGACUCAUAAUCUCAGGGUAGUGCGUUCGUGUUCCACGUCGGGUG
This 73-nucleotide transfer RNA is filed under the name Lepisosteus oculatus (spotted gar). It matches the Rfam family "tRNA". Rfam says of the family: Transfer RNA (tRNA) molecules are approximately 80 nucleotides in length. Their secondary structure includes four short double-helical elements and three loops (D, anti-codon, and T loops). The record is from Rfam by way of RNAcentral. Lineage: Eukaryota; Metazoa; Chordata; Actinopteri; Semionotiformes; Lepisosteidae.